Long non-coding RNA from Cyprinus carpio (common carp), 992 nucleotides. The record is from Ensembl. NCBI's taxonomy places the organism in Eukaryota, Metazoa, Chordata, Actinopteri, Cypriniformes, Cyprinidae.
GUUUUUUGUUUAAUACAUUUGGCCAAAAUCUCAUAAAAUAAAAGAUUAAGUGCUAUACACAGGAUAUAUAAAACAGUAUAUAGUUACACCUUUAUGUCAAAUACUAAGACUCUUCUCUGCUCUUCAAACACACAGAAAACAUUUGCCUUUGUAGACAUGGUGUUUCUUGAGUAAUGAAAACGCUGUACUUAUUACUCUGAUUUAAAAAAACAAAAAAAACAAUUAUACAUCCCAUAUAUACACUGUUAGAAAUGUCUGUAAAUUGAACAGUAUUUAACUGUAAAAUUAACUGUAUUUUACUGUAGGACAGUUAUACAGCAUGUUACUGUAUUUUAAAGUUACAUUUUGGGAAAUAUCCCCUUGGCGCCACUAAAAUACAGUAUUUUUGAUUUACUGUAAAUCUAAAUACAGUAAAAAAAAAAAAAAAAAAAAAAAAAAGCGCGAAACCUGACCAAUCACAGAAAAGCUUUUAUUUCCCGCUUGGAGAAAGAAGAAAACGAAGACACACAGAUGCGAGGAGAACCAGUCAGAUGCAAAGGUUUGACCACGUCAGGAGCUGGUUCAUUGUGAGGAUUAACCCUGACAACAGCAAGUGCUCCUCAAAGUUCCAGGUCAGCAAAAGAAGUGGGAAGAUGCAUGGUGCAAAGGAUGAACUCUGGCCUGAACCCUCAUGUAUCCUCCUUUAUUAAGGAGUUUCUGGAUUUCAGCUGGCAAAACUAUUAUAAACUACUAUAAGCUACUAAGAGCAAAUAUGUUCUACACAGGAGUUUUCUGAAUUUGUAUAUUUUUAAGAUUGUUCUUAUGACUGAAUCUGUUCAUGUCUGUUGUUUUAAAAUGCUCUUAAUAUGAAACUUUUAUGUAUAAAUGAAAUGUUUUCAAGUUUUUGGAAAACUGAAAGUACAAUCUGCAAGAAUAUUAAAAUGUUAUUUCAAGUAUUACAAUUGAACAAUUAAAUCAAUAAAAGAAGUUAAACAGUAUUUUGUUUCUUUUUA